CAAGAACACAGCAGCAGCAAGUCUACAUUGAAAUCACAUUAAUGAUGUGCUGAACAAGAAAGCUGGAGAAUCCAGAGUCAAGGCAGUCCCUGAUCCUGUUGCUGGCUGUAGGAUUCCCAGCUGUCAGAAAUCAAGGAUCCAGGCACAGUGCUGCUUCAACGCUGCCAUGAGAGAGAGGCUGACAGCACAGUACCUGUACAAUUUGAAAACAGGUUUCUGGGAAACGAAUACUUCCUGUGCUGUAUAUAGUGAUGCUGGGUGACGUAGCCUGUGCAUUCAAAUUGGAUGACCUCUUCAACCAUGUGCUAUUAUUGUAAGUAGGUAGAUCCCUGAAACACCUGGAGUCAUGGUGGGCAUUUAUCAUACAAAGCCAUGAGGACUGGUGCUGUGGGAAAUUGAGAAGACCACAGUGAGAAUGUUGCAAAUAAAUAAAUAAAUUAUAUUUCCAAAAUGGCAUAAGAAAGGAUUAUCAGUGGAAAGGGGAACAAUAUUCCUCAUUAAG
Molecule: long non-coding RNA, 502 nt
Organism: Oxyura jamaicensis (ruddy duck)
Lineage: Eukaryota; Metazoa; Chordata; Aves; Anseriformes; Anatidae
Exons: 4
Source: RefSeq, a predicted model, not a curated record